CCUACGGGCGGCAGCAGUGAGGAAUAUUGGACAAUGGACGGAAGUCUGAACCAGCCAUGCCGCGUGCAGGAAGACGGCUCUAUGAGUUGAAAACUGCUUUUGUACAAGGGUAAACCUGAAUACGUGUAUUCAGCUGAAAGUACGGUACGAAUAAGGAUCGGCUAACUCCGUGCCAGCAGCCGCGGUAAUACGGAGGAUCCAAGCGUUAUACGGAUUUAUUGGGUUUAAAGGGUGAGUAGGCGGAUUGAUAAGUAAGAGGUGAAAUGUCCGAGCUCAACUCGGGAACUGCCUCUGAUACUGUUGAUCUAGAGAGUAGAUGCGGGAGGCGGAAUGUAUGGUGUAGCGGUGAAAUGCUUAGAGAU
RNAcentral lists this ribosomal RNA (362 nucleotides) under uncultured bacterium. RNAcentral describes it as "partial 16S ribosomal RNA". It matches the Rfam family "Bacterial small subunit ribosomal RNA", at positions 338 to 697 of the family's 1533-position model. The record is from RNAcentral.